GACGAACGUUGGCGGCGUGCUUAAUACAUGCAAGUCAACUGAAGCAGUGAUAGCAAUAUCGCUGUGGAGGUGGCGCACGGGUGAGUAACACGUAGGUAAUCUGCCUUCAGGUCUGGCAUAACUCCGGGAAACCGGGGCUAAUAGCAGAUGAUGCAGCGGCUCGACAUCGAGACAGUUGUUAAAGCUAUGGCGCCUGAAGAUGAGCCUGCGUCUGAUUAGCUAGUUGGCGGGGUAACGGCCCACCAAGGCAACGAUCAGUAGCUGGUCUGAGAGGAUGAUCAGCCACACUGGAACUGAGACACGGUCCAGACUCCUACGGGAGGCAGCAGUAAGGAAUAUUGCUCAAUGGGAGAAAUCCUGAAGCAGCAACGCCGCGUGAGGGACGAAGGGCUUUUGCUUGUAAACCUCUGUAGUGAGAGAAAAAAAUCCCAAUCUUUGGGACAUGAUGGUAUCUCAAAAGUAAGCCCCGGCUAACUACGUG
Molecule: ribosomal RNA, 481 nt
Filed under: uncultured bacterium
Lineage: Bacteria
Description: partial 16S ribosomal RNA
Rfam family: Bacterial small subunit ribosomal RNA
Source: RNAcentral